This is an RNA transcript of Melanotaenia boesemani (Boeseman's rainbowfish), 2854 nucleotides long. It is a transcript of the gene named visinin-like 1a, with no coding region annotated. The record is from RefSeq and is a predicted model, not a curated record. The transcript has 5 exons. NCBI's taxonomy places the organism in Eukaryota, Metazoa, Chordata, Actinopteri, Atheriniformes, Melanotaeniidae.
AGUGUCUGUCUCCUCCUCUCAAUUCAUCAGCUGCGCUUGGUGUUCAGCAGCAUCCUACGGACCUGCACCGCUUUACUUUCUGACUUUUCUCCCGCAAACCACGCAACAAAAACACAUAAGAAACAAAUCAAAACGCUGAGCAAACCCUAAAAUUUUCUCGUGGGUCUGACUGAAAAGCAUUUCAGACAUUUGAAGCGCGAGUUCCCUUUCCGUCCUCGCAGGGGUUCGUGUGGCCACUCCAGACAUCAGAACCGCCGGACUUCUCUCGUUGACUCCACACUCUCGCCAGGAAAAAUGGGGAAACAGAACAGCAAGCUGACCCCUGAAGUGAUGGAGGAUCUGGUGAAGAACACAGAGUUUAACGAGCAUGAGCUGAAGCAGUGGUACAAGGGAUUCCUGAAGGACUGUCCCACCGGCCGGCUCAACCUGGAGGAGUUCCAGCAGCUCUAUGUCAAGUUCUUCCCUUAUGGCGAUGCAUCUAAGUUUGCCCAACACGCCUUCAGGACCUUUGACAAGAACGGUGAUGGCACCAUUGACUUCAGAGAGUUCAUCUGUGCUCUGUCCAUCACGUCACGGGGCAGCUUCGAGCAGAAACUCAACUGGGCCUUCAACAUGUACGACCUGGACGGAGACGGCAAGAUCACACGGGUUGAGAUGCUGGAGAUCAUUGAGGCAAUCUAUAAGAUGGUUGGCACAGUGAUCAUGAUGAAAAUGAAUGAGGAUGGCCUGACGCCCGAACAAAGGGUGGACAAGAUCUUCUCCAAGAUGGAUAAGAACAACGAUGACCAGAUCUCACUGGAAGAGUUCAAAGAGGCGGCUAAGAGCGACCCGUCCAUUGUAUUACUGCUGCAGUGUGACCUCCAGAAAUAGGCCAGAGUGUGAGCUGAGCACUCCACCAGCCGCCACGGACUGCACAGAAAGAAUUUCAUGUUCCAUUCAGUUUGCAGCUAUUUCCACUGAAAAAAAAAUGCUUGGACUACCUUUCAAUGGAUCUGCUUCUUGUGUUUGAAACACUUGUGUGCAUGAGAAUGUUAUUUGCUAUAAAAUAAUCUACACAAAACAUACAACAGUCUGCGGGUGCACACUGACACCAUUAACACGCUCACAAUACAUACAAACACACAUACACACACAUCUCUCACACCAUAUAAACAACUCGCACAAAUAAUAUAUAUAUAGAUAUAUAAAUAUGAAUAUAUUUAAAUUAUUUAAAGAUUAACUGCCAAAAUGUGAAGUGUGCAAACUAUUUUCCAUACAGUCUCAUUCUACACAAGCUUGCGCAUCAGCGAUGUGCUACGUUGAAUUUGCCGCUACUCUAUUUAUUAUUCCGAGUUUACCGAUGCUAGCUAUAUGUGUUUCAUAAUACUGAAUAACGUCAACUGAACCAGAUUCCUAUAAUAAUGUACUUGAUUCCGAUAAAACACUAUCCAUCUUCUCCAAUAUUAGCUCUAGAAGAGGUGGAUUCACGUUUGUGCAACUUUUCCUUCUGAAACAUGCUUGUACUGUCAGUAAAUACUGUAAAUGUAGUUAAUUUGCAUGCCUUUAGGUUCUGCCUUAAAAAUCUAAUUUUCAUCCAUUGAUUGAAGACAGAAUGCCUUAACGCAGUGCAGUGACUCAUGGGGAAACCGUGAGAGAAGAUUUUUACUGACUGGGGAGGGACAAAAAAGAAUCACACUACAGUAGGUCCUCCUACAAGUUACCGUGGUAUGGGAUGUACUUUUUGUGAUCCGUUGAGACAUUUUUGUUUUGACUGCUUUAACUGUGGGAGCAUGUUUCCUUGUAGAUUAGCUGUGCUAUAUGUUGCUAAGAGUUCAGUCCCUGCCCUGUGUGCAUUUAAAUACAAUAUCUCAUUAUAAAAUUAGCAGAUCUUGUAUGUCGAGGGCAUGUGCUUCUGAAAAAGAGAGAUAAAUUGGUACAUUGUUGGAAACAAAUGGAUGGAAGCCAGUGAGAUCAAACAAUUACAUUGAGAUUCCCUAAAUGAAAAAGCUGGAGUUUGAUAAGAUGAGAGAGAAGAAAGUGGUGUUCAUUAACAGUUAGAAAGCCUGUGUUUUAUGUUAAUAUCACAUCCACUUUUUUCCCAAGUAGCUCACAGGUUGCAUAUCAUUACAAUAAAUUCAGAGGGAGCUUUUUUGGAGUCUGGGAUGGUUGUUGAAAAGCAGAGAUUAGAUCCGUGCAAAGCAUAAACAUUCUUCUUUGUCUUCUUUGGAAGUACAUGAGUGCUAAAGUAAUGUGACGAGCAGUGGAUUGUGUUUCAGAGCAGUCAUUAGUAUAAAACCUUGUGUUUCGUAGGUUGGACAAUUUGCCCUUCUCAAUCCUCCAAAUUACUUCUCUUUUACCAACCAGUCAGUCUUUUUGUACUUUUUUACUCCCCUCUCUCACACAUUGCACACGUACUAAUGCAAACUAAAUGUAGAAAAGUUCAGUGAAGUGUGGUGCCUCCUAAGAAUGUCUUGGAAACAGCCACUUCUUUAAAUAUACUUAAGGAACUUUGCCUGGGGCCGACUUAUUACAAACUGCAUCACUAUUAAUGUUUUACAAGCUAAUGGAGGAUAAAAAGAUGUGAUAACAGACAGUACCGCAAUAAAGAAAUAUCACACCAGUCCAUCAUCAUCCCUCAGCAGUGUGUACUGUUCCAGUCAAGUUUCUAAUCUGAACUUCUUUACAUGAACAUCUUUGGCCAGAUAAUGUUUCUAAUUACAACUCUGUUAUAAGUAUUACUGCUAUCAAGAUACCAAAUGUAAGCAACGGCAACCGUGUACAAGGAUUCUUUUGUAGCAUGUAUUGUGUCCCUGACGACAUGGCUGCACUUCUCCCUGUGUUGUGAUUUAAUCUAAUAAAAAGAACUAUAUGGGCA